AGCUCCAAUAGCGUAUAUUAAAGUUGUUGCAGUUAAAAGCUCGUAGUUGGAUUUCUGGCGGGAGUGAUCAGUCCAGCUCUAUGAGUUGGUACUUGAAUCGUCUCCCACCAUCUUUCAGGAAAACCUUUCUGGCAUUAAGUUGUCGGGUAGGGGAUCCUGAUCCUUUACUGUGAAAAAUUAGAGUGUUCAAAGCAGGCUUAUGCCGUUGAAUAUAUUAGCAUGGAAUAAUAAGAUAGGACUAUGGUACUAUUUUGUUGGUUUGUGCACCAUGGUAAUGAUUAAUAGGGACAGUUGGGGGUAUUCGUAUUCCAUUGUCAGAGGUGAAAUUCUUGGAUUUAUGGAAGACGAACUACUGCGAAAGCAUUUACCAAGGAUGUUUUCA
This 382-nucleotide ribosomal RNA is filed under the name uncultured eukaryote. RNAcentral's name for it is "SSU rRNA". It matches the Rfam family "Eukaryotic small subunit ribosomal RNA", at positions 587 to 972 of the family's 1831-position model. The record is from RNAcentral.